AGGGUGUGCUCAGAGCAGGGGGCCUGAAGAAUGGCUCCUCUGUUUACAACACACCCGAUAGGAAUCUGGGGUCAUUGUGAUGAGGGACACAUUUGUGGCUUCCUUAUGAGAAAAUGCCCUAUACAU
This 126-nucleotide small nucleolar RNA is filed under the name Castor canadensis (American beaver). RNAcentral describes it as "Small nucleolar RNA SNORA11 (ENSCCNG00000025955.1)". It matches the Rfam family "Small nucleolar RNA SNORA11". Rfam says of the family: U107 (SNORA11) is a member of the H/ACA class of snoRNAs that guide the sites of modification of uridines to pseudouridines. This snoRNA was identified by RT-PCR from blood cells and its expression confirmed by Northern blot analysis. There is no predicted target for this guide snRNA. The record is from Rfam by way of RNAcentral. Lineage: Eukaryota; Metazoa; Chordata; Mammalia; Rodentia; Castoridae.